UACGUCCGAAGCGUCUGUAGUUAAGAUA
Molecule: small RNA, 28 nt
Filed under: Bombyx mori (domestic silkworm)
Lineage: Eukaryota; Metazoa; Arthropoda; Insecta; Lepidoptera; Bombycidae
Description: piRNA piR-bmo-1739702
Source: RNAcentral